AGUGAACGCUGGCGGUAGGCCUAACACAUGCAAGUCGAACGGCAGCACAGGAGAGCUUGCUCUCUGGGUGGCGAGUGGCGGACGGGUGAGGAGUACAUCUGAAUCUACUUUUUCGUGGGGGAUAACGUAGGGAAACUUACGCUAAUACCGCCUACGACCUACGGGUGAAAGCAGGGGAUCUUCGGACCUUGCGCGAUUGAAUGAGCCGAUGUCGGAUUAGCUAGUUGGCGGGGUAAAGGCCCACCAAGGCGACGAUCCGUAGCUGGUCUGAGAGGAUGAUCAGCCACACUGGAACUGAGACACGGUCCAGACUCCUACGGGAGGCAGCAGUGGGGAAUAUUGGACAAUGGGCGCAAGCCUGAUCCAGCCAUACCGCGUGGGUGAAGAAGGCCUUCGGGUUGUAAAGCCCUUUUGUUGGGAAAGAAAUCCAGCUGGUUAAUACCCGGUUGGGAUGACGGUACUCAAAGAAUAAGCACCGGCUAACUUCGUGCCAGCCGCCGCAGUAA
This 506-nucleotide ribosomal RNA is filed under the name uncultured bacterium. RNAcentral's name for it is "partial 16S ribosomal RNA". It matches the Rfam family "Bacterial small subunit ribosomal RNA", at positions 29 to 523 of the family's 1533-position model. The record is from RNAcentral.